CUGUCUCUCUUCCUUGUUGCGGUGAAGCAGGUCGGACGUGCUGCUGCAGAGAGACAGAAAACCAACGUGAAGCUUCUCUAAAGGAUUUAAGAGCCUGGACUGGAUGCAUCUUGAUAAGGUAAAGGGAAUGCUACAUGAACAAUGUCACAGCUGGAUCAGAUUUGCUGCCUCAAAAUAAGGAAUUAUUUUAAUCAACAUGCACAUUUAUAAGAUCUGCAUUCUUAGACUAUUAUUGUGACUCUGUAUGUAUAAACACUGAAAUUCACUGGUACAUAAAGCUUAUUGAGUUAAACUGUGUAUUGUCUAUUUGAUUUGCAUUUUAUGUAGAGGUUGUAAAUUAGAUUACAGAAUAUGCAGAAAUUCAUCAGUAGUUGGAUAUUACUAUAAAUCUAAGUAAUGGCACAUGGUGACGUUAUAAUGGGAGAAAAGCUGCAUGAUGUCAGCAGGAACCAUUUCUAUAAGCAUUUUAAUAAACA
Long non-coding RNA from Anoplopoma fimbria (sablefish), 476 nucleotides. RefSeq lists it as uncharacterized. NCBI's taxonomy places the organism in Eukaryota, Metazoa, Chordata, Actinopteri, Perciformes, Anoplopomatidae. The transcript is spliced from 3 exons. The record is from RefSeq and is a predicted model, not a curated record.